UACGUAGGGGGCAAGCGUUGUCCGGAAUCAUUGGGCGUAAAGAGCGUGUAGGCGGUUCGGUAAGUCGGCUGUGAAAGUCCAGGGCUCAACCCUGGGAUGCCGGUCGAUACUGCCGGACUAGAGUUCGGAAGAGGCGAGUGGAAUUCCCGGUGUAGCGGUGAAAUGCGCAGAUAUCGGGAGGAACACCAAUAGCGAAGGCAGCUCGCUGGGACGGUACUGACGCUGAGGCGCGAAAGCUAGGGUAGCAAACGGG
RNAcentral lists this ribosomal RNA (253 nucleotides) under uncultured bacterium. Its description in RNAcentral is "partial 16S ribosomal RNA". It matches the Rfam family "Bacterial small subunit ribosomal RNA", at positions 524 to 776 of the family's 1533-position model. The record is from RNAcentral.